GGGGCAACGGCCCACCAAGCCGACGAUCGGUAGCCGGACUGAGAGGUUGAACGGCCACAUUGGGACUGAGACACGGCCCAGACUCCUACGGGAGGCAGCAGUGAGGGAUAUUGGUCAAUGGGGGAAACCCUGAACCAGCAACGCCGCGUGAGGGAAGACGGUUUUCGGAUUGUAAACCUCUGUCCUCUGUGAAGAUGAUGACGGUAGCAGAGGAGGAAGCUCCGGCUAACUACGUGCCAGCAGCCGCGGUAAUACGUAGGGAGCAAGCGUUGUCCGGAUUUACUGGGUGUAAAGGGUGCGUAGGCGGCUUUGCAAGUCAGAAGUGAAAUCCAUGGGCUUAACCCAUGAACUGCUUUUGAAACUGCAGAGCUUGAGUGGAGUAGAGGUAGGCGGAAUUCCCGGUGUAGCGGUGAAAUGCGUAGAGAUCGGGAGGAACACCAGUGGCGAAGGCGGCCUGCUGGGCUCUAACUGACGCUGAGGCACGAAAGCGUGGGUAGCAAACAGGAUUAGAUACCCUGGUAGUCCACGCUGUAAACGAUGAUUACUAGGUGUGGGUGGACUGACCCCAUCC
This 571-nucleotide ribosomal RNA is filed under the name uncultured bacterium. RNAcentral's name for it is "bacterial SSU rRNA". It matches the Rfam family "Bacterial small subunit ribosomal RNA", at positions 254 to 842 of the family's 1533-position model. The record is from RNAcentral.